CAUAGGUUAAUGAGGCGAACCGGGGGAACUGAAACAUCUAAGUACCCCGAGGAAAAGAAAUCAACCGAGAUUCCCCCAGUAGCGGCGAGCGAACGGGGAGCAGCCCAGAGCCUGAAUCAGUAUGUGUGUUAGUGGAAGCGUCUGGAAAGGCGCGCGAUACAGGGUGACAGCCCCGUACACAAAAAUGCACAUGCUGUGAGCUCGAUGAGUAGGGCGGGACACGUGGUAUCCUGUCUGAAUAUGGGGGGACCAUCCUCCAAGGCUAAAUACUCCUGACUGACCGAUAGUGAACCAGUACCGUGAGGGAAAGGCGAAAAGAACCCCGGCGAGGGGAGUGAAAAAGAACCUGAAACCGUGUACGUACAAGCAGUGGGAGCACGCUUAGGCGUGUGACUGCGUACCUUUUGUAUAAUGGGUCAGCGACUUAUAUUCUGUAGCAAGGUUAACCGAAUAGGGGAGCCGAAGGGAAACCGAGUCUUAACUGGGCGUUAAGUUGCAGGGUAUAGACCCGAAACCCGGUGAUCUAGCCAUGGGCAGGUUGAAGGUUGGGUAACACUAACUGGAGGACCGAACCGACUAAUGUUGAAAAAUUAGCGGAUGACUUGUGGCUGGGGGUGAAAGGCCAAUCAAACCGGGAGAUAGCUGGUUCUCCCCGAAAGCUAUUUAGGUAGCGCCUCGUGAAUUCAUCUCCGGGGGUAGAGCACUGUUUCGGCAAGGGGGUCAUCCCGACUUACCAACCCGAUGCAAACUGCGAAUACCGGAGAAUGUUAUCACGGGAGACACACGGCGGGUGCUAACGUCCGUCGUGAAGAGGGAAACAACCCAGACCGCCAGCUAAGGUCCCAAAGUCAUGGUUAAGUGGGAAACGAUGUGGGAAGGCCCAGACAGCCAGGAUGUUGGCUUAGAAGCAGCCAUCAUUUAAAGAAAGCGUAAUAGCUCACUGGUCGAGUCGGCCUGCGCGGAAGAUGUAACGGGGCUAAACCAUGCACCGAAGCUGCGGCAGCGACGCUGAUGCGUUGUUGGGUAGGGGAGCGUUC
RNAcentral lists this ribosomal RNA (1037 nucleotides) under Escherichia coli. Its description in RNAcentral is "partial 23S ribosomal RNA". It matches the Rfam family "Bacterial large subunit ribosomal RNA", at positions 165 to 1241 of the family's 2925-position model. The record is from RNAcentral. Lineage: Bacteria; Pseudomonadati; Pseudomonadota; Gammaproteobacteria; Enterobacterales; Enterobacteriaceae.